CAGUCCAGGGAGAUGAAGAUGGGUUUACAGGGAGUUUUACUGGGUCUAAUUCUUCUUCUCAUUCAUGAAUCCUGUGGAGAGAUUGUUCUGACCCAAUCUCCAAAAUAUAUCUCUGUGUCCCCAGGAGAUACAGUCACCAUCUCAUGUACAGCCAGUAGUUCUAUAGGUUAUUCUUACUGGUACCAACAGAAACCAGGACAACGUCCAACACCUCUUAUCUAUGAUACAUCUAAGAGACAUACAGGAGUCCCAGACCGGUUCUCUGGAUCCGGAUCAUCUCCUGACUUCACUCUUACAAUCAGAGGAGUGACAGGAGAUGAUAUAGCAGGUUAUUACUGUCAGCAGUAUCAGAGCUAUCCUGUCACACAGUGA
Non-coding RNA from Hyla sarda, 372 nucleotides. The record is from the annotation of a RefSeq genome assembly. NCBI's taxonomy places the organism in Eukaryota, Metazoa, Chordata, Amphibia, Anura, Hylidae.